RNAcentral lists this ribosomal RNA (301 nucleotides) under uncultured bacterium. RNAcentral's name for it is "partial 16S ribosomal RNA". It matches the Rfam family "Bacterial small subunit ribosomal RNA", at positions 509 to 807 of the family's 1533-position model. The record is from RNAcentral.
CAGUAGCCGCGGUAAUACGUAGGUGGCAAGCGUUGUCCGGAAUUAUUGGGCGUAAAGGGCUCGCAGGCGGUUUCUUAAGUCUGAUGUGAAAGCCCCCGGCUCAACCGGGGAGGGUCAUUGGAAACUGGGAAACUUGAGUGCAGAAGAGGAGAGUGGAAUUCCACGUGUAGCGGUGAAAUGCGUAGAGAUGUGGAGGAACACCAGUGGCGAAGGCGACUCUCUGGUCUGUAACUGACGCUGUGGAGCGAAAGCGUGGGGAGCGAACAGGAUUAGAUACCCCCGUAGUCCCUGUCUCUUAUAC